Molecule: ribosomal RNA, 490 nt
Filed under: uncultured bacterium
Lineage: Bacteria
Description: partial 16S ribosomal RNA
Rfam family: Bacterial small subunit ribosomal RNA
Source: RNAcentral
AGUGAACGCUGGCGGUAGGCCUAACACAUGCAAGUCGAACGGCAGCACAGUAAGAGCUUGCUCUUACGGGUGGCGAGUGGCGGACGGGUGAGGAAUACAUCGGAAUCUACUUUUUCGUGGGGGAUAACGUAGGGAAACUUACGCUAAUACCGCAUACGACCUACGGGUGAAAGCAGGGGAUCUUCGGACCUUGCGCGAUUGAAUGAGCCGAUGUCGGAUUAGCUAGUUGGCGGGGUAAAGGCCCACCAAGGCGACGAUCCGUAGCUGGUCUGAGAGGAUGAUCAGCCACACUGGAACUGAGACACGGUCCAGACUCCUGCGGGAGGCAGCAGUGGGGAAUAUUGGACAAUGGGCGCAAGCCUGAUCCAGCCAUACCGCGUGGGUGAAGAAGGCCUUCGGGUUGUAAAGCCCUUUUGUUGGGAAAGAAAAGCAGCAGGUUAAUACCCCGCUGUUCUGACGGUACCCAAAGAAUAAGCACCGGCUAACUUCG